GAGUUUGAUCAUGGCUCAGGAUGAACGCUAGCGGCAGGCCUAACACAUGCAAGUCGAGCGAGCGAGGUUGCUUCGGUAACUGAGCUAGCGGCGGACGGGUGAGUAAUGCUUAGGAAUCUGCCUAUUAGUGGGGGACAACAUUCCGAAAGGGAUGCUAAUACCGCAUACGUCCUACGGGAGAAAGCAGGGGCUCUUUAUGACCUUGCGCUAAUAGAUGAGCCUAAGUCGGAUUAGCUAGUUGGUGGGGUAAAAGCCUACCAAGGCGACGAUCUGUAGCGGGUCUGAGAGGAUGAUCCGCCACACUGGGACUGAGACACGGCCCAGACUCCUACGGGAGGCAGCAGUGGGGAAUAUUGGACAAUGGGGGGAACCCUGAUCCAGCCAUGCCGCGUGUGUGAAGAAGGCCUUUUGGUUGUAAAGCACUUUAAGUGGGGAGGAGGCUUACCUGGUUAAUACCUGGGCUAAGUGGACGUUACCCACAGAAUAAGCACCGGCUAACUCUGUGCCAGCAGCCGCGGUAAU
This 522-nucleotide ribosomal RNA is filed under the name uncultured Pseudochrobactrum sp. RNAcentral's name for it is "bacterial SSU rRNA". It matches the Rfam family "Bacterial small subunit ribosomal RNA", at positions 9 to 524 of the family's 1533-position model. Lineage: Bacteria; Pseudomonadati; Pseudomonadota; Alphaproteobacteria; Hyphomicrobiales; Brucellaceae. The record is from RNAcentral.